Molecule: ribosomal RNA, 465 nt
Filed under: uncultured bacterium
Lineage: Bacteria
Description: partial 16S ribosomal RNA
Rfam family: Bacterial small subunit ribosomal RNA
Source: RNAcentral
CCUACGGGUGGCAGCAGUGGGGAAUAUUGCGCAAUGGGCGAAAGCCUGACGCAGCGACGCAGCGUGAGGGAUGAAGGUCUUCGGAUCGUAAACCUCUGUCAACAGGGAAGAACAGUCACUGUGCUAAUCAGCAGUGAAUUGACGGUACCUUCAAGGGACGCACCGUCUAACUCCGUGCCAGCAGCCGCUGUAAUACGGAGGGUGCGAGCGUUAAUCGGAAUUACUGGGCGUAAAGCGCUCGUAGGCGGUAUGUCAAGUCAGGGGUGAAAUCCCCGCGCUCAACGUGGGAACUGCGUUUGAAACUGGCAAACUGGAGUGUGCGAGAGGCUAGUGGAAUUCCAGGUGUAGGAGUGAAAUCCGUAGAUAUCUGGAAGAACAUCAGUGGCGAAGGCGACUAUCUGGCACAUAACUGACGCUGAGGAGCGAAAGCGUGGGUAGCAAACAGGAUUAGAUACCCUGGUAGUC